GACGAACGCUGGCGGCGUGCUUAACACAUGCAAGUCGUACGGUAAGGCCCUUUCGGGGGUACACGAGUGGCGAACGGGUGAGUAACACGUGAGUAACCUGCCCACAACUUUGGGAUAACGCUAGGAAACUGGUGCUAAUACUGGAUAUGUGUUCCUGCUGCAUGGGGGGGGUUGGAAAGCUCCGGCGGUUGUGGAUGGACUCGCGGCCUAUCAGCUUGUUGGUGGGGUAGUGGCCUACCAAGGCGGCGACGGGUAGCCGGCCUGAGAGGGUGACCGGCCACAUUGGGACUGAGAUACGGCCCAGACUCCUACGGGAGGCAGCAGUGGGGAAUAUUGCACAAUGGGCGCAAGCCUGAUGCAGCAACGCCGCGUGCGGGAUGACGGCCUUCGGGUUGUAUACCGCUUUCAGCAGGGACGAAGCUUUUUGUGACGGUACCUGCAGAAGAAGCACCGGCUAACUACGUG
RNAcentral lists this ribosomal RNA (465 nucleotides) under uncultured bacterium. Its description in RNAcentral is "partial 16S ribosomal RNA". It matches the Rfam family "Bacterial small subunit ribosomal RNA", at positions 28 to 507 of the family's 1533-position model. The record is from RNAcentral.